Oncorhynchus tshawytscha (Chinook salmon) is the source of this 381-nucleotide long non-coding RNA. Lineage: Eukaryota; Metazoa; Chordata; Actinopteri; Salmoniformes; Salmonidae. The record is from Ensembl.
CAGAAAUUAAACUAUAAGCUCAUAUGCUUCCAUACUUUAUUUCGAACGCAUGCAUGAAUAGUUGAAGGGUGUUGACGGAGAUCUGAUUUGAUUGUUAUCCUUUAGCGCAGUAUCACAGGAAAAGUCAGACACAGCUCAUCACUCGUCACUGACCGAACUUAAGCUGUACUUCGAGUCCAAUACGCGCUGCGGUUUUACACCCUCCGAUCUGAAUGCCCAGAGUUCUCCUCUCUCAGGCUCCAAGGGGACAGGAGGAGGAGCAGGGUGAUAUACACGGCUGUGAUGAUAACCAGCAUUUGAUUGUGAGGAAUUAUAGGUCUGGUGAACAAAAGGACUUGAGUUCUUGUAUGUUACAAUUACACCAUGAGUCGUUAAUCAUGA